This 2991-nucleotide ribosomal RNA is filed under the name Staphylococcus aureus. RNAcentral describes it as "partial 23S ribosomal RNA". It matches the Rfam family "Bacterial large subunit ribosomal RNA". The record is from RNAcentral. Lineage: Bacteria; Bacillati; Bacillota; Bacilli; Caryophanales; Staphylococcaceae.
GGUGGAUGCCUUGGCACUAGAAGCCGAUGAAGGACGUUACUAACGACGAUAUGCUUUGGGGAGCUGUAAGUAAGCUUUGAUCCAGAGAUUUCCGAAUGGGGAAACCCAGCAUGAGUUAUGUCAUGUUAUCGAUAUGUGAAUACAUAGCAUAUCAGAAGGCACACCCGGAGAACUGAAACAUCUUAGUACCCGGAGGAAGAGAAAGAAAAUUCGAUUCCCUUAGUAGCGGCGAGCGAAACGGGAAGAGCCCAAACCAACAAGCUUGCUUGUUGGGGUUGUAGGACACUCUAUACGGAGUUACAAAGGACGACAUUAGACGAAUCAUCUGGAAAGAUGAAUCAAAGAAGGUAAUAAUCCUGUAGUCGAAAAUGUUGUCUCUCUUGAGUGGAUCCUGAGUACGACGGAGCACGUGAAAUUCCGUCGGAAUCUGGGAGGACCAUCUCCUAAGGCUAAAUACUCUCUAGUGACCGAUAGUGAACCAGUACCGUGAGGGAAAGGUGAAAAGCACCCCGGAAGGGGAGUGAAAUAGAACCUGAAACCGUGUGCUUACAAGUAGUCAGAGCCCGUUAAUGGGUGAUGGCGUGCCUUUUGUAGAAUGAACCGGCGAGUUACGAUUUGAUGCAAGGUUAAGCAGUAAAUGUGGAGCCGUAGCGAAAGCGAGUCUGAAUAGGGCGUUUAGUAUUUGGUCGUAGACCCGAAACCAGGUGAUCUACCCUUGGUCAGGUUGAAGUUCAGGUAACACUGAAUGGAGGACCGAACCGACUUACGUUGAAAAGUGAGCGGAUGAACUGAGGGUAGCGGAGAAAUUCCAAUCGAACCUGGAGAUAGCUGGUUCUCUCCGAAAUAGCUUUAGGGCUAGCCUCAAGUGAUGAUUAUUGGAGGUAGAGCACUGUUUGGACGAGGGGCCCCUCUCGGGUUACCGAAUUCAGACAAACUCCGAAUGCCAAUUAAUUUAACUUGGGAGUCAGAACAUGGGUGAUAAGGUCCGUGUUCGAAAGGGAAACAGCCCAGACCACCAGCUAAGGUCCCAAAAUAUAUGUUAAGUGGAAAAGGAUGUGGCGUUGCCCAGACAACUAGGAUGUUGGCUUAGAAGCAGCCAUCAUUUAAAGAGUGCGUAAUAGCUCACUAGUCGAGUGACACUGCGCCGAAAAUGUACCGGGGCUAAACAUAUUACCGAAGCUGUGGAUUGUCCUUUGGACAAUGGUAGGAGAGCGUUCUAAGGGCGUUGAAGCAUGAUCGUAAGGACAUGUGGAGCGCUUAGAAGUGAGAAUGCCGGUGUGAGUAGCGAAAGACGGGUGAGAAUCCCGUCCACCGAUUGACUAAGGUUUCCAGAGGAAGGCUCGUCCGCUCUGGGUUAGUCGGGUCCUAAGCUGAGGCCGACAGGCGUAGGCGAUGGAUAACAGGUUGAUAUUCCUGUACCACCUAUAAUCGUUUUAAUCGAUGGGGGGACGCAGUAGGAUAGGCGAAGCGUGCGAUUGGAUUGCACGUCUAAGCAGUAAGGCUGAGUAUUAGGCAAAUCCGGUACUCNNNNNNNNNNNNNNNNNNNNNNNNNNNNNNNNNNNNNNNNNNNNNNNNNNNNNNNNNNNNNNNNNNNNNNNNNNNNNNNNNNNNNNNNNNNNNNNNNNNNAGCUGUGAUGGGGAGAAGACAUUGUGUCUUCGAGUCGUUGAUUUCACACUGCCGAGAAAAGCCUCUAGAUAGAAAAUAGGUGCCCGUACCGCAAACCGACACAGGUAGUCAAGAUGAGAAUUCUAAGGUGAGCGAGCGAACUCUCGUUAAGGAACUCGGCAAAAUGACCCCGUAACUUCGGGAGAAGGGGUGCUCUUUAGGGUUAACGCCCAGAAGAGCCGCAGUGAAUAGGCCCAAGCGACUGUUUAUCAAAAACACAGGUCUCUGCUAAACCGUAAGGUGAUGUAUAGGGGCUGACGCCUGCCCGGUGCUGGAAGGUUAAGAGGAGUGGUUAGCUUCUGCGAAGCUACGAAUCGAAGCCCCAGUAAACGGCGGCCGUAACUAUAACGGUCCUAAGGUAGCGAAAUUCCUUGUCGGGUAAGUUCCGACCCGCACGAAAGGCGUAACGAUUUGGGCACUGUCUCAACGAGAGACUCGGUGAAAUCAUAGUACCUGUGAAGAUGCAGGUUACCCGCGACAGGACGGAAAGACCCCGUGGAGCUUUACUGUAGCCUGAUAUUGAAAUUCGGCACAGCUUGUACAGGAUAGGUAGGAGCCUUUGAAACGUGAGCGCUAGCUUACGUGGAGGCGCUGGUGGGAUACUACCCUAGCUGUGUUGGCUUUCUAACCCGCACCACUUAUCGUGGUGGGAGACAGUGUCAGGCGGGCAGUUUGACUGGGGCGGUCGCCUCCUAAAAGGUAACGGAGGCGCUCAAAGGUUCCCUCAGAAUGGUUGGAAAUCAUUCAUAGAGUGUAAAGGCAUAAGGGAGCUUGACUGCGAGACCUACAAGUCGAGCAGGGUCGAAAGACGGACUUAGUGAUCCGGUGGUUCCGCAUGGAAGGGCCAUCGCUCAACGGAUAAAAGCUACCCCGGGGAUAACAGGCUUAUCUCCCCCAAGAGUUCACAUCGACGGGGAGGUUUGGCACCUCGAUGUCGGCUCAUCGCAUCCUGGGGCUGUAGUCGGUCCCAAGGGUUGGGCUGUUCGCCCAUUAAAGCGGUACGCGAGCUGGGUUCAGAACGUCGUGAGACAGUUCGGUCCCUAUCCGUCGUGGGCGUAGGAAAUUUGAGAGGAGCUGUCCUUAGUACGAGAGGACCGGGAUGGACAUACCUCUGGUGUACCAGUUGUCGUGCCAACGGCAUAGCUGGGUAGCUAUGUGUGGACGGGAUAAGUGCUGAAAGCAUCUAAGCAUGAAGCCCCCCUCAAGAUGAGAUUUCCCAACUUCGGUUAUAAGAUCCCUCAAAGAUGAUGAGGUUAAUAGGUUCGAGGUGGAAGCAUGGUGACAUGUGGAGCUGACGAAUACUAAUCGAUCGAAGACUUAAUCAA